GACGGAGGGUGCAAGCGUUGUUCGGAAUUACUGGGCGUAAAGAGCUCGUAGGUGGUUUGGUAAGUCGGAUGUGAAAUCUCCAGGCUCAACCUGGAGGGGUCAUUCGAUACUGCCAUGACUAGAGGUCGGUAGGGGAGUGUGGAAUUCCUGGUGGAGCGGUGAAAUGCGCAGAUAUCAGGAGGAACACCCGUAGCGAAGGCGGCACUCUGGGCCGAUUCUGACACUGAGGAGCGAAAGCGUGGGGAGCGAACAGG
RNAcentral lists this ribosomal RNA (254 nucleotides) under uncultured bacterium. RNAcentral's name for it is "partial 16S ribosomal RNA". It matches the Rfam family "Bacterial small subunit ribosomal RNA", at positions 524 to 776 of the family's 1533-position model. The record is from RNAcentral.